Molecule: transfer RNA, 87 nt
Filed under: Verrucomicrobiota bacterium
Lineage: Bacteria; Pseudomonadati; Verrucomicrobiota
Also listed under: 3 other names
Description: tRNA-Tyr
Rfam family: tRNA
About the family: Transfer RNA (tRNA) molecules are approximately 80 nucleotides in length.
Source: RNAcentral
GGUAGGAUACUCAAGCGGUCAACGAGGGCAGACUGUAAAUCUGCUGGCCUACGGCCUACGCUGGUUCGAAUCCAGCUCCUACCACCA